Molecule: ribosomal RNA, 477 nt
Filed under: uncultured organism
Description: partial 16S ribosomal RNA
Rfam family: Bacterial small subunit ribosomal RNA
Source: RNAcentral
ACACUCCUGCGGGAGGCAGCAGUGGGGAAUUUUGGACAAUGGGCGAAAGCCUGAUCCAGCAAUGCCGCGUGUGUGAAGAAGGCCUUCGGGUUGUAAAGCACUUUUGUCCGGAAAGAAAUCCUUGGCUCUAAUACAGUCGGGGGAUGGCGGUACCGGAAGAAUAAGCACCGGCUAACUACGUGCCAGCAGCCGCGGUAAUACGUAGGGUGCGAGCGUUAAUCGGAAUUACUGGGCGUAAAGCGUGCGCAGGCGGUUUGCUAAGACCGAUGUGAAAUCCCCGGGCUCAACCUGGGAACUGCAUUGGUGACUGGCAGGCUAGAGUAUGGCAGAGGGGGGUAGAAUUCCACGUGUAGCAGUUAAAUGCGUAGAGAUGUGGAGGAAUACCGAUGGCGAAGGCAGCCCCCUGGGCCAAUACUGACGCUCAUGCACGAAAGCGUGGGGAGCAAACAGGAUUAGAAACCCCAGUAGUCCCAUGAU